AAUGGGGACCUGGAGGUCUCUCACUGUGCUUGGGUAUUACCUCCUUGAUGGCAAGGGAGACAGGAAGGGAGAUGGCCCUGGAAGGCAGGAGGAAGGAGUGGGGAGCUCAAGGAAAAGGCCAUUUACCCACUGGUACCUGGAUGGGCUAACACAGAUUGCCACCGCUAACACGCACCAGUGAUAGAACUGCCAGCCCCUGUUCUCUAGACCUGCACCAAGACACCACUUGGUGAUGGCAUGCACCCUGUCUGCAGGUUACCUGGGCUUGUAUGUGUUCUAUGUGGUCACUGUGAUUCUCUGCACCUGGAUCUACCGAUGGCAACGGAGAGGAUCUCUGUUCUGCCCCAUGCCAGUUACUCCAGAGAUCCUCUCAGACUCUGAGGAGGACCGGGUAUCUUCUAAUACCAACAGCUAUGACUACGGAGACCACGGCUCAGAUCCUGGUCCGGGCCCUCAAUCCCCUGGAUUACAUGAAGUGGAGAAGGAAAUCAGCAUACUGGAAAGCCCUCAAGGUGUUCAAGCUGCCUGUGGAGUUCCUGCUGCUCCUCACAGUCCCCGUCGUGGACCCGGACAAGGAUGACCGGAACUGGAAACGGCCCCUCAACUGUCUGCAUCUGGUUAUCAGCCCCCUGGUUGUGGUCCUGACCCUGCAGUCAGGGACCUAUGGUGUCUAUGAGAUAGGCGGCCUCAUUCCUAUCUGGGUCGUGGUGGUGAUCGCAGGCACAGCCUUGGCUUCAGUGACCUUUUUUGCCACAUCUGACAGCCAGCCCCCCAGGCUUCACUGGCUCUUUGCUUUCCUGGGCUUUCUGACCAGCGCCCUGUGGAUCAACGCGGCCGCCACAGAGGUGGUGAACAUCUUGCGGUCCCUGGGCGUGGUCUUCCGGCUGAGCAACACUGUGCUGGGGCUCACGCUGCUGGCCUGGGGGAACAGCAUUGGAGAUGCCUUCUCAGAUUUCACGCUGGCCCGCCAGGGCUACCCGCGGAUGGCGUUCUCUGCCUGCUUUGGCGGCAUCAUCUUCAACAUCCUCGUGGGCGUAGGGCUGGGCUGCCUGCUCCAGAUCUCCCGGAGCCACACAGAGGUGAAGCUGGAGCCAGACGGACUGCUGGUGUGGGUCCUGGCAGGUGCCCUGGGGCUCAGCCUCGUCUUCUCCCUGGUCUCAGUCCCAUUGCAGUGCUUCCAGCUCAGCAGAGUCUACGGCUUCUGCCUGCUCCUCUUCUACCUGAACUUCCUUGUCGUGGCCCUCCUCACUGAAUUUGGAGUGAUUCACCUGAAAAGCAUGUGACUGAAGCCGCUUAGUGCUGUGGCCUCACUGCAGGCAGGAGCCCCGCCCCUGCUGCCGGGGGAGGCCCAGGGACCGGAGCAUUUCUGCAAGGCCCUUGUGGGCACGAGAGUGCGGCCCUUGCUGCUGGAGAUCUGAGGUCACUGCUAUGAGCUGGGAGAACUGCUCUGUACCUCUUGCUGCCAGCACCCAACAGCCUUGCCGUGGGGACCUUGGAAACCGGGCUUUGCUCUGGACAAAGGGUUUCAGAGAGAAGCUAGAAGUCCCCCUUGAAUGACCCCCAGAGCCCCUCUGAGAAGGGCUGGAGUUUGGGGGAAGGGGACGGCUGGGUGUGUUCCAGGCCAUGCUGGAGGUACCCCCGAGGCACAGGCACUGCCCGUUCCCCUUGCCUGGGCUUCAGGCCUUCUGGCACCUUCUCAGGACACAAGUGGCUGCCCAACCCUGACUCAGAGAAUGAGGGUGGCUUGGACCCCUGGGAAUCAGGCUGCCGAGGGCUGAGCUCCAGAGCUGCACCAUCUGCCAGAAACAGAAUUCGAGACAUAUUUAAUUUUGAAUUUCUCCUUGCCAUGUUAAUAAAGCCAAAAGCAGCGGGUGCCAUUCGUGGCAAUACACUUCACCGAACCCACUUGCUCCCAAAACGACGCCAGCCCAAGGCACUGCUACGCCAGCAGCUGCCACAUGGCAUGGUGGCUCAGGCGUUCCCUCCAGGAUUCUGCCCCUGACUGUCCACAGACUCCUUUGUGCUGGAACCUGGGCUCCUCCAGCUGCCAAGCAGGAGUCAGUAGGACUGUGCCUGUGCCUCCCUCAGGGGGAGCCCUGGGCGGGGUUCCAAGGCCUGCGAGCUGGGAAAGGACAGAUGAGGGGACCUCGUGCCUUCUUGCUGUCAUGCAGUGACCCCGCCUUAUGUUACCGAAAUAAGCAACUCUUAGGUUUGCCUGACUGCCUUAUGCUGGUAAAGGGAUUCAACUGUCUCUUUUCCAAAUAAAAAAAAAAAAUUCAAAAUUUC
This 2286-nucleotide small RNA is filed under the name Pongo abelii (Sumatran orangutan). RNAcentral's name for it is "retained intron". The record is from RNAcentral. Lineage: Eukaryota; Metazoa; Chordata; Mammalia; Primates; Hominidae.